GUGAGGAAUUUUCCGCAAUGGGCGAAAGCCUGACGGAGCAAUGCCGCGUGAAGGAUGAAGGCCUAUGGGUUGUAAACUUCUUUUCUCAGAAAAGAAUUAUGACGGAAUCUGAGGAAUAAGCAUCGGCUAACUCUGUGCCAGCAGCCGCGGUAAGACAGAGGAUGCAAGCGUUAUCCGGAAUGAUUGGGCGUAAAGCGUCUGUAGGUUGUUUAAAAAGUAUUCUGUCAAAGAUUAGGGCUUAACCCUAGAUAGGCAGAAUAAACUUUUAAGCUAGAGUUUGGUAGAGGCAGAGGGAAUUCCCGGUGGAGCGGUGAAAUGCGUAGAUAUCGGGAGGAACACCAAAGGCGAAGGCACUCUGCUGGGCCAAUACUAACACUGAGAGACGAAAGCGAGGGGAGCAAAUGGGAUUAGAAACCCCAGUAGUCC
Molecule: ribosomal RNA, 426 nt
Filed under: uncultured bacterium
Lineage: Bacteria
Description: partial 16S ribosomal RNA
Rfam family: Bacterial small subunit ribosomal RNA
Source: RNAcentral